Molecule: non-coding RNA, 553 nt
Organism: Saimiri boliviensis boliviensis (Bolivian squirrel monkey)
Lineage: Eukaryota; Metazoa; Chordata; Mammalia; Primates; Cebidae
Source: RefSeq, a predicted model, not a curated record
CAGACCUUCCAGGAGCCUGGCCAUGGGGCUGAGCUGAGCCCUGCUGAGAGAUCACUGACGACACCUGGCUCAAAGGCAAGGGCACCAAAGAUGCGUCAUCUUCCUCCUCCUCCAUCUCCACUCAGGAUACUGCAGAAUCACUGGGCCCAUCAUGAUUCUUCCCUGAAACCAUGGCAAGUGCAUGGAGCAGCUCUCUGAGCACCAGGAAAGGAAAUGGCCAGUGCGCAGCAGUUUGGGAUGGCCGCAGCAGAUGAACUUCAACAGACUCCUGCUCCAUGUGCAGCAAUACAGGACCUUCCAGGGCUAGCUGAUGAGGCCAUGCCAGCACCAGGGGAAGAGCCCCCUUCAGGGACAGAGCUGGAGCUAGAGGCAGCUCCAGAGCCCUCCUGCCCCUGCCCUAAGGAGCUGCCUGACAUUGUGGCACCUGCUCUAGACACUGGCCUCAGCCCUGGAGCUGAAAGCAUGACUGGAGCAAGAGGUGGAAAUAAAAGGGCUGUAAAGUGCUCAGGAUGAACACGAAGUCCUCAGCUAUCGGUCACAUCUUCAGGGGCCG